Molecule: non-coding RNA, 1197 nt
Organism: Pogona vitticeps (central bearded dragon)
Lineage: Eukaryota; Metazoa; Chordata; Lepidosauria; Squamata; Agamidae
Source: RefSeq, a predicted model, not a curated record
ACAGGAAUUUGCUAAGGAGGAGCAAAAUGCAGAUCAUCUUUUCUUUUGUUACCAUUGUUGCAAGGAGAUCCUCCUCUGUGGUUUCCAGUUCAAGUGAGAUGUACAACCCAUGCUUCACAAUAACAAUUCAGUGAAUGAAGAAAUCCUUUCAUCAAAAUGAGAGGCUGGCACCUCACCAUCCUUCAGCAUCAGGCUCUGUGAUGUUCACCUUCUCAGGCAUCCAGUUGUUGAAGAAAAGCCUCUUUAAACGUGCUUGCCUGCCUAUGGAAGGACAGCAAAGAAGGUUCCAGCUUGACCUCCCGUGGAAGGGAAUUCCACAGGUUGGGAGCAUGAAUUUACGACAGCAUUUUUUAAAAAGCAAUUCAGCCAAAUUUGCACUACACAUUACAAUUUCAGCCUUCAUUAUUAUUAUUAUUAUAUAAGUAUUGUAAGAAUAAUGUUCAGAAUCCUGUUUCCAAUGUAGAGAGCAUAACUUUAUCAGAAUAACUGUCAACUGUAAAUUGCUGUAGUUAAGAAAUGAGCAUAGGUAGUUCCUGUUUCUCAGAGUCAUGCAUAAUGGAUAUGUGAUAGGAAAUGCCUAUGUGAUUUCUUAACAUGUGGGAAUUUGCUGUUGAAACUUAUGUCAAUGGAGUAAUUAGUAGGAUUCUGACUGUUAUAUUUAUAAUAAACAUAUUUGUAAUAGAUUUCUAUUGUAAUAGAUUUAUAUUAUUUAUUUUAUAUUUUAUAGUCUCAUGAAUACACAAAUGUAUUGAUUCCAAUGAUUGAUUUAAAACAAAUUGCUUCCUGGUUCAGCAUCUUUGUUGUUCAGAAUCUAGUCUGUUACUAUCUGAUAAAAAAGUAAGCAUUCUAACAAGAACCAACUUGCUUAUUCUGGUCACUAACAUUAUCAGAAUUAAUUAUAUUGGUUAAUAAUGCUAUUCUCAAUUUGACAUUUCCUAUUUCCCAACUGCCCUGUAUACUUGUAUAUACUGUAAUGGAUUUUGACUAAAUAACCGGCACUGUGUGCUUGAGAAAUCCAAAAAAGCUCAAACUGAAAUAAAUUUGUUAGCCUUUGAGGUGCUUCUAUACUUUGGUUUUUCAUGUUUGUUUUGCAUAUAAUAGAUGUUGAAGCAGACUAACAUGGCUAUAACUUAUUUUGGGGAAAUGUGAGACUAAGUAUUUUUUUUAAAAUGCAACAAUGAUGGUAACUAAUUUUGA